Molecule: ribosomal RNA, 253 nt
Filed under: uncultured bacterium
Lineage: Bacteria
Description: partial 16S ribosomal RNA
Rfam family: Bacterial small subunit ribosomal RNA
Source: RNAcentral
UACGUAGGGUGCAAGCGUUGUCCGGAAUUAUUGGGCGUAAAGAGCUCGUAGGCGGUCUGUCGCGUCGGCUGUGAAAACCCGGGGCUCAACCCCGGGCCUGCAGUCGAUACGGGCAGACUAGAGUGCGGUAGGGGAGACUGGAAUUCCUGGUGUAGCGGUGAAAUGCGCAGAUAUCAGGAGGAACACCGACGGCGUAGGCAGCGCCCUAGACGAGACCUGACGCUCAGGCACGAAAGCGCGGGGAGCGAACAGG